AUUGAACGCUGGCGGCAUGCUUAACACAUACAAGUCGAACGGCAGCACGGUCUAGCUUGCUAGACUGGUGGCGAGUGGCGAACGGGUGAGUAACGCGUAGGAAUAUGCCUUAAAGAGGGGGAUAACCUGGGGAAACUCAGGCUAAUACCGCAUGAGCUCUGAGGAGGGAAGCUGGGGACCUUUUGGCCUGGCGCUUUAAGAAUAGCCUGCGUACGAUUAGCUAGUUGGUAGGGUAAGGGCCUACCAAGGCGACGAUCGUUAGCUGAUCUGAGAGGAUGAUCAGCCACACUGGGACUGAGACACGGCCCAGACUCCUACGGGAGGCAGCAGUGGGGAAUAUUGGACAAUGGGGGGAACCCUGAUCCAGCAAUGCCGCGUGUGUGAAGAAGGCCUGAGGGUUGUAAAGCACUUUCAGUGGGGAGGAGGGUUGAUAGGUUAAGAGCUAAUUGACUGGACGUUACCCACAGAAGAAGCACCGGCUAACUCCGUGCCAGCCGCCGCCGUAA
RNAcentral lists this ribosomal RNA (506 nucleotides) under uncultured bacterium. RNAcentral's name for it is "partial 16S ribosomal RNA". It matches the Rfam family "Bacterial small subunit ribosomal RNA", at positions 30 to 523 of the family's 1533-position model. The record is from RNAcentral.